Molecule: ribosomal RNA, 305 nt
Filed under: uncultured bacterium
Lineage: Bacteria
Description: partial 16S ribosomal RNA
Rfam family: Bacterial small subunit ribosomal RNA
Source: RNAcentral
ACAGCAGCAGCCACGGUAAUACGUAGGUGGCAAGCGUUGUCCGGAAUUAUUGGGCGUAAAGGGCUCGCAGGCGGUUUCUUAAGUCUGAUGUGAAAGCCCCCGGCUCAACCGGGGAGGGUCAUUGGAAACUGGGAAACUUGAGUGCAGAAGAGGAGAGUGGAAUUCCACGUGUAGCGGUGAAAUGCGUAGAGAUGUGGAGGAACACCAGUGGCGAAGGCGACUCUCUGGUCUGUAACUGACGCUGAGGAGCGAAAGCGUGGGGAGCGGACAGGAUUAGAUACCCCGGUAGUCCCUGUCUCUUAUAA